GCUUGUGUUUGCAGCUACACUACUGGCUGAGGAAUUAGAGUGACAUUUUAUAACUCAUCCGCUGCUAGAUUUCCUCCCUUUCUCACUUUCUGUUUUGUCGUCUGGGUUCACUUGGCCAUCAUGACUUUAACAAAUUCCUCAUAGUUGAUUUGGCCAUCGCCAUCAACAUCGGCUUCACGAAUCAUUUCAUCGACUUCCUCAUCGGUGAGCUUCUCGCCGAGGUUGGUCAUGACAUGACGGAGUUCUGCAGCAGAGAUGAAGCCAUUCUGGUCCUUAUCAAACACUCGGAAAGCCUCCUUGAGCUCCUCCUCUGAAUCGGUAUCUUUCAUCUUGCGAGCCAUCAAGUUAAGAAACUCUGGGAAGUCGAUUGUGCCGUUGCCAUCAGCGUCAACCUCGUUUAUCAUGUCUUGAAGCUCUGCUUCUGUAGGGUUCUGACCCAGAGAACGCAUCACAGUUCCAAGCUCUUUUGUCGUGAUGCAACCUGUUGUAAUUAAAGAUGGAAAAAUGUACUUCAAUGACACCACUAAGAUCCAUCCAAAAAGGCCUAUCUGUUUCAGUUAUAGCUAUAGUCAUCAUCUCUAUGCAAAUAAUUUCUACUAAGCCAAUAAGAAUAACAUGUAGAAAUAGGGUCUACUCAAUGUAGAUAUAUAGUUACACUAUGUGUUACCAUGCCGCACUCUAAAGAAUAACGUUCAAGCAGCAUCCUGAAUAGAUGCUUCAGUAAAUUGCCAAUGACCAUAUCUUGACAAGGCAAAACUAUUGAUUACUUAGAAUCAUUUUACUUAUGCUACAUAUAAUAUGCCAAGUGACACAGUAACGCCUUAGCUUUAUAACAAGGAUGAUCCUUCACAACCUAAGUGACCAAAAGUCUAAGCCACGAAAAUAGCCUUUCUAUUUCCAAGGCUAAUGCUGGACAUAUUGAUCAUUCCCAGACUCCAACAUAGAUGGAACCCCAUAAGUAGGUUGCUCCAAGGAUGUAUACCAAGAGGCAUUUUUGGUGGUGUAAUUUCUUGAAUGGUUAGCUACUUAGUUGAUAUCUUUAAGAAAAAGGGCUAGAAAAAGUAAAUGAAUCAAUCUAUUAACGAUUCGUUAUUGCAAAGUAAUUAACACUCUUAAAGCUCGAGGGAAUGAACACAGUUUUUGUGGGAUCAUUUGAUGUUGAUAUAGUCAAAGUUGCUUAUCGAACUAAAAGAAAGUAACUAGCUUGUCCCACAUUAACUUGUCUGACAAACUAUUGCCAUUCCAAUUAAUAAUCCCAUCCAUCUUGCAUCCAACUUAUGUGGGAAAGCAAUGACCACCUUGAGAAUGUUGUGCUCCCGUAAGGCUAAGGCUGAAAGUACACCACAACAAUCCCACUUUAUGUUUGAAUCAUCACAAUAUAGACUCAUCAUGGAAAUAGAAGGUCAAAUGUGUGGAGACGGGAAUCAAGAUCCUCAUUAAAGAAUACACACUCAUAUGUAAUAUAGGAGAAGAUGCAAAAUUUCUUUUUCUACAUUAACAAGCCUUUGACACGGAUAAAUCUCAAAAGAGGAAUUAUACAUGCACUAUGAAUCCUGGUUGUCACUGACGUCCCAAGAUGAUGAACGGGAUUGGAAGUUGGAACAAGAUCCCAAGGAUAUCAGACGUGAAAGGUCUCUUAACACAAGUGAACAACCACUACAUGUAUGAUAAUUUCACCGAAUCAAACCUGAUGCUCAAGCUAAAGGGGCGAAGAAAAAACCUCAGCUGUUUACUCAGAUCUGAAGUCAACAACCUUCACAGCGUAAAUAAGAAAAAUCGAGACAACGAUUCAUAAAGAUAUCUGAUUCAUGUUUCAGGGCGGGUCGAUUAUCUGCUUCCAAAAAAACCUCUUCGACGAUCAAAAACCCAUCUUAGAAUACACGGUACGGUGAAAGCAAAUGAAAUCCUUCAACGCUUGACCAACAGGAUCUACGAAUUAAGAAGACGUGGUAGAAAAUGCGAUCGAGGGGAUCUAACCAUCGCCGUCCUUGUCGAACAGGCUGAAGGCCUCCUUGAACUCGGCGAUCUGAUCGUCGGUGAGCUGCUCCGCCAUGCCUCCUCUGCAAUCGUUCUCACAAGAGAAGGAUGGAGAGAGAGAUUGGAGAUCCUUGAACAACAACUAGAAGAAGAAAGGGAGACGAAGAAGAGGACGCGAGCGUUUUGUGCCCUCUCACUUCGCGGUGAUCGAGUUCACCCCGGAA
RNAcentral lists this long non-coding RNA (2201 nucleotides) under Musa acuminata (dwarf banana). Its description in RNAcentral is "long non-coding RNA (MACU_LNC002447)". Lineage: Eukaryota; Viridiplantae; Streptophyta; Magnoliopsida; Zingiberales; Musaceae. The record is from RNAcentral.